This is a long non-coding RNA of Catharus ustulatus (Swainson's thrush), 1597 nucleotides long. RefSeq lists it as uncharacterized. NCBI's taxonomy places the organism in Eukaryota, Metazoa, Chordata, Aves, Passeriformes, Turdidae. The transcript has 3 exons. The record is from RefSeq and is a predicted model, not a curated record.
UGUUAAAAGCUAAACAACAGAUCUAUCUCCGGACGCUGCUGCUUCACUCAAUUGCAACUAAUAACCCAUUAAAGACAGCGCAGGGGGAACCGAAUUCUCUCCUGCAAAGCGACAUAAAUCCAGCGAAAACCCAUUAAACCGCCGCCACCGCCACCAAGCCACGCAGCACUACACACCACAGCAAACAACAGUGAAGGCGAUGGUUACUGCUGUCAAUCUUGGCAAUCAAUGUGAGCGGCCAUGUCGUAAGUAUUCAAAGCAUUUCCCGUCGUGCAACAUCAGAAAGUGAGUGGCCAGGGCAUUGAUCUGAGGAAGGCAAAAGGAGGCAGGGCUCCCCCGCCCAGACAGCACAGGCAAGAUGAGACAACACAGGGAGAGAGAGGAGGGAGAGGGGAAGGGAGGGAGAGACACAGAGAGAGAGAGAGAGGCUGGGAGCGAGCGGGGAGAGCAACAACUGCGGAGAAAGUGAGCACAAAACAGAAAGUGAAAUCGGCGCGGGCUGCCAGCCGCAUCCCCGCGCAGCUAUCACCACUCACAGGGCCAUUAGACACAUGAAACCCUACACCGCUCUGCUCCCGCUAAUGACCACUGAUUGCCCGGAGUGGUGAGGAAAGUGAACACCCGCCGUGCAGAUCCGUGUACACGUGCCGAGAAACAAGAAAGCGCUUUCACUUGGAGUGUUACCCCACGUUUAGAAACAGCGUUUGGAAUUACUGCCCUUGCUUUGGCUUCAUGAUGGCUAGAGGCAGAUGUUGAGGAGGGAUGCUGACCUGCUGGGGGUCCCUGCUCAGGGAAGGGACCGCAGGCGCUCACAUCACGUCGGAGCACUUACCUGUGCACAGCUGUCAUGGCAUUUUGCGCCGUGUGUCUCACUAAUUGCGUUAAAGUAAAGGAAUAUUCAACAAGCGAGGCAACCUGUCUGUGUGCUGAGUUGUACGCACCGCAUCUUUAACCUGAGCAGCAAACCUGCAACUCCUGGAGAGUUGGCGGAACAGCCUCAAAAGUUUUGGAUUCAAAGGGCAAGAAAUUUCACUUUAAAAGUCAUUCACCCACUUCUAAACUGCCCUCUCACCCCAGUUAAUGCCGGACAAUUAAGAGGCAUGUUUAUAAAUUCCCUCUGCGGACACUGUCCGACAAUGAAGGCUUGUUAUAGGCUUGCUAAGGAUGUUCAGAGAAACUUUUGCAAAAUAAUCAACAGCAUCUGAGAGAAAGCUGAAGGUAAAGAAGUUAAAGCCUGAUAAUCCGAUUGGGAAAAAGUUUUGUUAGACUAGAUAGAAGUAAAUUACUGCACGUUUCUUCAAAAGCAAACCCAUCAGCUGAUACGAGUUCUCCUAGAACAAGAACCUCUGGCGAACUCCUCCAAAUUUAGGGGACGGUUGUAUUUUGUAACACUCAAAGCUAAAGAUCUGCCUGAAAACAAAAACUCUGAAUUCCUUACAGCGUCAUCUGCCAACAAAAUGUAUUGUCUUGGCAGAAAGAGUAUCAAGGAGAUUUUAAUUUCAUUUUAAACUGUGCAUCAUCUUGAUAGCGAAGGAAAAAGCCGCAGCAACAAUCUCCCCACUCCACGCCCCCGCCAUUCAAAAAAAAAAAAAAAAAA